Molecule: long non-coding RNA, 244 nt
Filed under: Olea europaea (common olive)
Lineage: Eukaryota; Viridiplantae; Streptophyta; Magnoliopsida; Lamiales; Oleaceae
Description: long non-coding RNA (OEUR_LNC004574)
Source: RNAcentral
UUUUUCGUAUGGUGAGUUAUGAGGAGUGGCAUUAGUCACAACAUCUCUAUACAGUCCAAGACAAGCGUGUAAGACUCUGUGAAAGUAAAAGCUCACUAUUUGAUCAGAGCGAAAGAAAGUAAAACGUCCAGUGCGAUUACGUUGGUCAUGCCCGACUAUAUUCAAAAAAAUUGCGACUUGUUCCUCAAUUCGAACGUAUUUCCUGUCAACCAAUCCAUAAGUUCGCAAACGAGCACAUAAUCUU